This 253-nucleotide ribosomal RNA is filed under the name uncultured bacterium. RNAcentral's name for it is "partial 16S ribosomal RNA". It matches the Rfam family "Bacterial small subunit ribosomal RNA", at positions 524 to 776 of the family's 1533-position model. The record is from RNAcentral.
GACAGAGGGUGCAAACGUUGUUCGGAAUUACUGGGCGUAAAGCGCGUGUAGGCUGUCUUGCAAGUCGGGUGUGAAAGCCCUGGGCUCAACCUAGGAAGUGCACUCGAAACUGCAGGACUCGAGUCCUGGAGGGGAAGGCGGAAUUCUCGGUGUAGAGGUGAAAUUCGUAGAUAUCGAGAGGAACACCGGUGGCGAAGGCGGCCUUCUGGACAGUGACUGACGCUGAGACGCGAAAGCGUGGGGAGCAAACAGG